Molecule: ribosomal RNA, 90 nt
Filed under: Klebsiella pneumoniae
Lineage: Bacteria; Pseudomonadati; Pseudomonadota; Gammaproteobacteria; Enterobacterales; Enterobacteriaceae
Source: RNAcentral
ACCUGACCCCAUGCCGAACUCAGAAGUGAAACGCCGUAGCGCCGAUGGUAGUGUGGGGUCUCCCCAUGUGAGAGUAGGGACCUGCCAGGC